RNAcentral lists this transfer RNA (74 nucleotides) under Actinomycetota bacterium. Its description in RNAcentral is "tRNA-Ile". It matches the Rfam family "tRNA". From Rfam's summary of the family: Transfer RNA (tRNA) molecules are approximately 80 nucleotides in length. Their secondary structure includes four short double-helical elements and three loops (D, anti-codon, and T loops). RNAcentral also lists the same sequence under 1 other name. The record is from RNAcentral. Lineage: Bacteria; Bacillati; Actinomycetota.
GGGCCCGUAGCUCAGCUGGUCAGAGCAGCGGACUCAUAAUCCGUUGGUCCCAGGUUCGAAUCCUGGCGGGCCCA